GUUUAAAAGCACUAAAGGACUCAGUUUAAAACUCAAGUGUAUUUACUGGGAAAAGAAAAACAUUCAGCCACAUACCUGAAUUUGUAUUAGUUUGUCAUUUUAGCCUUAAAAGGAAUCAGAAAAGAUGAGUCUAGUGAGUUUAAAAACUAGAACAGCAAUUCAGCUACAACACACACUGCAAUUUGGAGAAGGAGGGGAUUUUUCUAAGUUACAUAUGCAUCCUUCAACUAAAUAAUUCAACCGUUUCAAAGAUGGGGAAGUAAAAAUCAAGAAAAAGGCAGACAGGAUGAGAAGAUGGUGACAUCCUCCUGUUUGCAAUUCCAGAGGCAUCUCAUGGUUAAUUUUACUCCUCUGUGUGUAAUAAUAAACCAAUAUGUUCUCAAGUGUCACUUUCUCACUCCCCAAGAGACUUGCCCAACUCAGCACUGUCUGGGGAGGGGGGUUCAAAGGAGCCAGUGAGAACACCCACGGGCAGAGGCCAACAAGUCCAAGACCUCCUGGAGUGUAAGAAUAGGAUCUUGAUGACUGUUUUGAUAUCAGGAAAGCUGCCAAGCAACGGCCCAGAGUGAAAAACCCAGUCAAGAGGAAAUGAAUUUCCACGUUGUUUGGAGGGAUAUUCGUUACAUAAGUGAACAAUUUCCUGAUCAUGAGGGCAGUUAAACAUUGUGUGGGAUUAUGGAAUGCUCUUCCUUGGAAAUUCCUAUCAGUGUGGGCUGGCUUUAGCAUUUUCCUAUCAAAAAGAAUACAAGACUCAUUGUAUGGUGUAAUUGGCAAAGAGCUUGGACUCUGGAAUCAGACAAACCUGGAUUUUACCUUAACACUAUGGGAAAGCUACUUCAAUUCUCUACACUUCAGUUUCCUCAUCUGUAAAAUGGGAAUAAUACCUGCCUCUUGAUAUGGUAAUGGGAAAUGGUUAACUGUUAUUAUCUAAGCAUACUGGGAACCUAAAGGGGAUAGUGCCAAUCAUAUCAAAUUGUGUUUAUCUUGGAUGUGGGGGCAGAUGGUAAAGUGUAUUUUUUUACCAUGGUUCUGAAUCUACAUUUAGUAUGGAAAGUCUUUCCCAGGCCAAAAUGUCUCAAGAUUCUUCUCUGAAGUCUGAAUACCCUAGAAGACCUUGGAUAGGCUUCUACUGUUAAGAUUCUAUUAACAGAAGCCAGGGAGAAAAGCAGACUUGAGAAGUUGGAGGGAAAACAGCCUGUGAUGGCUCUUUUACCCUCAUCAAAAUCUAUUAAGAAUCUGGGGUGGAAUAGAAUCAUGAUUCACCAUACCCCAGAGCUAGAGAAAACUCCAGUUCAAAGGAACUGCAGAGUGGGGUUAAUUUUCUAAACUUAAGGACAACUGGAGAGAUUCCAACAGUCACUUUCUUAAUUUUUAGCCUCCAAAACAUCCAUUGUUAGGCAGAUUCAGCAUACCCUACCUCUUGCCAGCAUUGCCAAGUCCUUGGUUCAUUCCAUUACUUAUCCUCUAAAUUGGAUAAUUCACCCUUUCUCAACUAUUUAUGAAUGCUCCCUGUGUUUACCUGUCAUCUCGUGACUUUGUUUAUACUUUUCUUUUCCCCUAUGGGGAUAACUGGGAAACCCUCACCCAACGCCACUACCUUCCCAAUUCUUCUGGAUUUUCUGGGCCCAUCGUGAAGACCAAACCUUUAGAGAACACUUUCCUCAGCUCCUGCCUAAAGUUAUCUUGUCUGCCCCCAAGAACACAAUGGGCAGAUGUAUGGAAGGCAUUUGGCAUGUAGAAAGCAUCCAAAAUAUUUGUCCUAUUUUAUCUAAAAGUGGUUUGGGAAUUUCUGGUGAUUCACAUAAAAACUUUGGGUUUAUGGAUGGAGGCAAGGAACAAAAUGAAUUUCAUUUGCAGACUUUAUUUUCCAUUAGAAAAUGGGGUUGGGGUCAGGCAUGGUGGUGCAUGCCUGUAAUCCCAGUGACUCAGGAGGCUGAUACAGGAGGACUGCAAAUUCAAGGCCAGUCUCAGCAACUUAGUGAGGCCUUGAGCAACCUAGUGAGACCCUUUCUCAAAAUAAAAAAAUAAAAGGUGCUAGGGAUGUAGCUUGG
RNAcentral lists this long non-coding RNA (2051 nucleotides) under Marmota monax (woodchuck). Lineage: Eukaryota; Metazoa; Chordata; Mammalia; Rodentia; Sciuridae. The record is from RNAcentral.